GGGUCAGUAGGUUGGUCGUGCCACCGGUACGUACUGGUCUCACUGAUUCCUCCUUCCUGAAGAACCGUAAUGCCAUUAAUUGGUGUUGCGGGGAAACAGGACUAUUACUUUGAAAAAAUUAGAGUGUUUAAAGCAAGCUAACGCUUGAAUACAUUAGCAUGGAAUAAUGAAAUAGGACGAUCGAUCCUAUUUUGUUGGUUUCUAGGAUUGACGUA
RNAcentral lists this ribosomal RNA (215 nucleotides) under Glomeromycotina sp. RNAcentral's name for it is "partial small subunit ribosomal RNA". The stretch from base 75 to 215 matches the Rfam family "Eukaryotic small subunit ribosomal RNA", at positions 722 to 864 of the family's 1831-position model. Lineage: Eukaryota; Fungi; Glomeromycota. The record is from RNAcentral.